UACGUAGGCAGCGAGCGUUGUUCGGAGUUACUGGGCGUAAAGGGUGUGUAGGCGGUUUUUUAAGUUUGGGGUGAAAUCCCCCGGCUUAACCGGGAGGGUGCGCCGAAUACUGAGGGACUAGAGUGCGGGAGAGGAGAGUGGAAUUCCUGGUGUAGCGGUGAAAUGCGUAGAUAUCAGGAGGAACACCGGUGGUGUAGGCGGCUUUCUGGACCAUAACUGACGCUGAGACACGAAAGCGUGGGUAGCAAACAGG
This 253-nucleotide ribosomal RNA is filed under the name uncultured bacterium. RNAcentral's name for it is "partial 16S ribosomal RNA". It matches the Rfam family "Bacterial small subunit ribosomal RNA", at positions 524 to 776 of the family's 1533-position model. The record is from RNAcentral.